AUUAAUUUGGCAGAAAAAGUGCUUUAAAUUUAGAAUUUAAUAAUGUAAGAUUACAGUUAAUA
Molecule: transfer RNA, 62 nt
Filed under: Tettigometridae sp.
Lineage: Eukaryota; Metazoa; Arthropoda; Insecta; Hemiptera; Tettigometridae
Description: tRNA-Leu
Source: RNAcentral